RNAcentral lists this ribosomal RNA (253 nucleotides) under uncultured bacterium. Its description in RNAcentral is "partial 16S ribosomal RNA". It matches the Rfam family "Bacterial small subunit ribosomal RNA", at positions 524 to 776 of the family's 1533-position model. The record is from RNAcentral.
UACGUAGGGUGCAAGCGUUAAUCGGAAUUACUGGGCGUAAAGCGUGCGCAGGCGGCUUGGUAAGACAGAUGUGAAAUUCCCGGGCUUAACCUGGGAACUGCAUUUGUGACUGCCAGGCUAGAGUGCGGCAGAGGGGAGUGGAAUUCCGCGUGUAGCAGUGAAAUGCGUAGAUAUGCGGAGGAACACCGAUGGCGAAGGCAACUCCCUGGGCCGGCACUGACGCUCAUGCACGAAAGCGUGGGGAGCAAACAGG